CAUGCAAGUCGAACGCGUUGGCCCAAUUGAUUGAUGGUGCUUGCACCUGAUUGAUUUUGGUCGCCAACGAGUGGCGGACGGGUGAGUAACACGUAGGUAACCUGCCCAGAAGCGGGGGACAACAUUUGGAAACAGAUGCUAAUACCGCAUAACAGCGUUGUUCGCAUGAACAACGCUUAAAAGAUGGCUUCUCGCUAUCACUUCUGGAUGGACCUGCGGUGCAUUAGCUUGUUGGUGGGGUAACGGCCUACCAAGGCGAUGAUGCAUAGCCGAGUUGAGAGACUGAUCGGCCACAAUGGGACUGAGACACGGCCCAUACUCCUACGGGAGGCAGCAGUAGGGAAUCUUCCACAAUGGGCGCAAGCCUGAUGGAGCAACACCGCGUGAGUGAAGAAGGGUUUCGGCUCGUAAAGCUCUGUUGUUAAAGAAGAACACGUAUGAGAGUAACUGUUCAUACGUUGACGGUAUUUAACCAGAAAGUCACGGCUAACUACGUGCCAGCAGCCGCGGUAAUACGUAGGUGGCAAGCGUUAUCCGGAUUUAUUGGGCGUAAAGAGAGUGCAGGCGGUUUUCUAAGUCUGAUGUGAAAGCCUUCGGCUUAACCGGAGAAGUGCAUCGGAAACUGGAUAACUUGAGUGCAGAAGAGGGUAGUGGAACUCCAUGUGUAGCGGUGGAAUGCGUAGAUAUAUGGAAGAACACCAGUGGCGAAGGCGGCUACCUGGUCUGCAACUGACGCUGAGACUCGAAAGCAUGGGUAGCGAACAGGAUUAGAUACCCUGGUAGUCCAUGCCGUAAACGAUGAGUGCUAGGUGUUGGAGGGUUUCCGCCCUUCAGUGCCGGAGCUAACGCAUUAAGCACUCCGCCUGGGGAGUACGACCGCAAGGUUGAAACUCAAAGGAAUUGACGGGGGCCCGCACAAGCGGUGGAGCAUGUGGUUUAAUUCGAAGCUACGCGAAGAACCUUACCAGGUCUUGACAUCUUGCGCCAACCCUAGAGAUAGGGCGUUUCCUUCGGGAACGCAAUGACAGGUGGUGCAUGGUCGUCGUCAGCUCGUGUCGUGAGAUGUUGGGUUAAGUCCCGCAACGAGCGCAACCCUUGUUACUAGUUGCCAGCAUUAAGUUGGGCACUCUAGUGAGACUGCCGGUGACAAACCGGAGGAAGGUGGGGACGACGUCAGAUCAUCAUGCCCCUUAUGACCUGGGCUACACACGUGCUACAAUGGACGGUACAACGAGUCGCGAACUCGCGAGGGCAAGCAAAUCUCUUAAAACCGUUCUCAGUUCGGACUGCAGGCUGCAACUCGCCUGCACGAAGUCGGAAUCGCUAGUAAUCGCGGAUCAGCAUGCCGCGGUGAAUACGUUCCCGGGCCUUGUACACACCGCCCGUCACACCAUGAGAGUUUGUAACACCCAAAGUCGGUGGGGUAACCUUUUAGGAGCCA
This 1441-nucleotide ribosomal RNA is filed under the name Limosilactobacillus fermentum. Its description in RNAcentral is "bacterial SSU rRNA". It matches the Rfam family "Bacterial small subunit ribosomal RNA". Lineage: Bacteria; Bacillati; Bacillota; Bacilli; Lactobacillales; Lactobacillaceae. The record is from RNAcentral.